Molecule: long non-coding RNA, 155 nt
Organism: Myotis brandtii (Brandt's bat)
Lineage: Eukaryota; Metazoa; Chordata; Mammalia; Chiroptera; Vespertilionidae
Exons: 3
Source: RefSeq, a predicted model, not a curated record
UCCUGCACACCCCCUCCUGGGGAUGUGCCCGCAACCAAGUUAAAUGUACAUUAUAUGCUUGGAUUUGUGCUGGGAAUACCAGGAUGAGUGAGAGAAAUAACACUAUCUGGCACAUGAGAGGAAGGGAGAGGGAUAGAGAGUUAGAAACAUGGAUG